Molecule: ribosomal RNA, 304 nt
Filed under: uncultured bacterium
Lineage: Bacteria
Description: bacterial SSU rRNA
Rfam family: Bacterial small subunit ribosomal RNA
Source: RNAcentral
AAUAACGUCCCGGUUACGGGGGAAAGUAUUUAUCGCAAAGGAUCGGCCGCGUCUGAUUAGCUAGUUGGUGAGGUAAUGGCUCACCAAGGCGACGAUCAGUAGCUGGUCUGAGAGGAUGAUCAGCCACACUGGGACUGAGACACGGCCCAGACUCCUACGGGAGGCAGCAGUGGGAAUAUUGGACAAUGGGCGCAAGCCUGAUCCAGCCAUGCCGCGUGAGUGAUGAAGGCCUUAGGGUUGUAAAGCUCUUUUGUCCGGGAAGAUAAUGACUGUACCGGAAGAAUAAGCCCCGGCUAACUUCGUG